CCGGAAUAGCUCAGUCGGUAGAGCAGAGGACUGAA
Molecule: transfer RNA, 35 nt
Filed under: Cryptopapillaria penicillata
Lineage: Eukaryota; Viridiplantae; Streptophyta; Bryopsida; Hypnales; Meteoriaceae
Description: partial tRNA-Phe
Source: RNAcentral